Long non-coding RNA from Uranotaenia lowii, 1399 nucleotides. RefSeq lists it as uncharacterized. NCBI's taxonomy places the organism in Eukaryota, Metazoa, Arthropoda, Insecta, Diptera, Culicidae. The record is from RefSeq and is a predicted model, not a curated record. The transcript is spliced from 4 exons.
UCAUGACGUUUUUCACGGUGUUUUGAAUACAGUGAGUGUAAAUAUCUUCCGUCGAAAUUCUGUUUUUUGUUCCGAAUAGGCAAGGCUCAAGCUUUUUAAUUGAUAACGAAACAUUUGACUAUGAAGGGCAGAACACAGCAGCUGCAGUAGCCGGACGAAGACAUCGCGAGUUCGCUCCUCCUCCGACGAACUGGAAGACAGGGAUAACGUCCGUCCGGAGGCAGAUGACCGGUUGUGCGUUCCACCAAUCUAUAAAUUUAGCUGAAACAACGCUAGUUCCUCAGUAGCAUCCACUAAGCGACGGUAGGCAAAGCGAUGAAGCAGGUCAGAUUCCCAACCACCCAUUGCCCAAGCUCGGGUGGCUCAAAUUCUGGUGGAGAUGCAAAGAAGUCCGAACCGAGUUUUAAAGCGGGUCCCAAAUGUAUACGCUGCUUCCAUCCGAUUUGCCUACAACUACAACUCAAUCUCGCUUUUUCGUUGUCGAGAAAAAAGGAAAUUUCCGGAGUGCAAUAGAUUGCCAAGUGUCGUAGGCGACUUCCAAGUGGGCAAGAAUAAAAACAAAAUCGGAUAAGCACAUGCAAAGCCUAACCGUGACCCUCAAAUAAGCUAAGAAGUGGAUGCAGCUGCGGAAAGCGAGUGCUAUGUGCAACCCAUUGGAACGACAGCAGCGUUUCGAUCAAUGUGACCAACCACCUCGAUCUAACCAUGUUGCAGCAAAAUGUGGAAGAUAAAAAAAAAAAUAAGGAAACGUUUCUAAUCCAUGUCAGGUUUUUUCUGCAAAAUGCUUUGAUUUAUUUCUAUAACAGCCAGCUUCAGUUAAAAAAAAUCUGUUAACAGGAGAUGAACAAGAUCUAAGUUUGCAGCAAGUGAUACUAAAAGCCAAAACGUGCCAGAAUUAGUUCAGCGAGGUGUGUUCCCAAUCGCACCUGUUUUUGUGAGCCAAGCUGAAGGCUUUCACGUAUUGGUCGGCUUAGAGGAUAACGAUUACCAGGAAUUGAUUGGUGUAGAUUCGAUUUUCGGGGUUACGAUCGUGCCUGGGUACCGGUGAAAGAUUAUUUGUGUAAAUUUUCUGUAGGUGUUCUAAUGUACGAAUUCGGAAAUUUUAAAAAAAUAUGCAAAAUAAUGAAGAUUCACACCGCAAUAGUUUAUGCUUACGUUAAGUUAUGUCCAAGUUUAGGUCAUGAAAAACGAGUUUAAAGAUUUAGCUUGCAAUGGGCGAGAAUAUCGAGUCUAAAAUAUGAAACAAAUGAACACCAUACUGAAAACUACGUGUUGCGAAAAAAUGCCUCACUGAUGCAAGAGCUAGAAGUUCAAAUCAAAGUCUGCUAUAGCUAUCAUCAAAAACAAAAUAUAAAAACAAGAAUUUAAAAAGAAGAAGAUGCUGAAACAUGAGCUUUAU